RNAcentral lists this ribosomal RNA (468 nucleotides) under uncultured bacterium. RNAcentral's name for it is "partial 16S ribosomal RNA". It matches the Rfam family "Bacterial small subunit ribosomal RNA", at positions 28 to 507 of the family's 1533-position model. The record is from RNAcentral.
GACGAACGCUGGCGGCGUGCUUAACACAUGCAAGUCGAACGGAAAGGCCCUGCUUUUGUGGGGUGCUCGAGUGGCGAACGGGUGAGUAACACGUGAGUAACCUGCCCUUGACUUUGGGAUAACUUCAGGAAACUGGGGCUAAUACCGGAUAGGAGCUCCUGCUGCAUGGUGGGGGUUGGAAAGUUUCGGCGGUUGGGGAUGGACUCGCGGCUUAUCAGCUUGUUGGUGGGGUAGUGGCUUACCAAGGCUUUGACGGGUAGCCGGCCUGAGAGGGUGACCGGCCACAUUGGGACUGAGAUACGGCCCGGACUCCUGCGGGAGGCAGCAGUGGGGAAUAUUGCACAAUGGGCGGAAGCCUGAUGCAGCAACGCCGCGUGCGGGAUGACGGCCUUCGGGUUGUAAACCGCUUUCGCCUGUGACGAAGCGUGAGUGACGGUAAUGGGUAAAGAAGCACCGGCUAACUACGUG